GCGACGCCGCGUGAGGGAUGAAGGCCUUCGGGUUGUAAACUUCUUUCAGCAGGGAAGAAGCGCAAGUGACGGUACCUGCAGAAGAAGCGCCGGCUAACUACGUGCCAGCAGCCGCGGUAAUACGUAGGGCGCAAGCGUUGUCCGGAUUUAUUGGGCGUAAAGAGCUCGUAGGCGGUUUGUCGCGUCUGCUGUGAAAACCUGGGGCUUAACUCCGGGCCUGCAGUGGGUACGGGCAGACUAGAGUGCGGUAGGGGAGACUGGAAUUCCUGGUGUAGCGGUGAAAUGCGCAGAUAUCAGGAGGAACACCGGUGGCGAAGGCGGGUCUCUGGGCCGUAACUGACGCUGAGGAGCGAAAGCGUGGGUAGCGAACAGGAUUAGAUACCCUGGUAGUCCACGCCGUAAACGUUGGGCGCUAGGUGUGGGGCUCAUUCCACGAGUUCCGUGCCGCAGCUAACGCAUUAGGCGCCCCGCCUGGGGAGUACGGCCGCAAGGCUAAAACUCAAAGGAAUUGACGG
Molecule: ribosomal RNA, 515 nt
Filed under: uncultured bacterium
Lineage: Bacteria
Description: bacterial SSU rRNA
Rfam family: Bacterial small subunit ribosomal RNA
Source: RNAcentral